RNAcentral lists this ribosomal RNA (763 nucleotides) under uncultured bacterium. Its description in RNAcentral is "bacterial SSU rRNA". It matches the Rfam family "Bacterial small subunit ribosomal RNA", at positions 92 to 860 of the family's 1533-position model. The record is from RNAcentral.
UUAGUGCGGAACGGGUGAGUAAUACAUAAAAUAACCUGCCCCGAUGUCUGGAAUAACAGUUGGAAACGAUUGCUAAUGCCGGAUAUGAUAUUUGGAAGCAUUUCCUAAUAUUGAAAGAUGGGAUACAUCGCAACGGGAUGGAUUUAUGGCGCAUUAGUUAGUUGGUGAGGUAACGGCUCACCAAGACGAUGAUGCGUAGCCGGCCUGAGAGGGUGACCGGCCACACUGGGACUGAGACACGGCCCAGACUCCUACGGGAGGCAGCAGUGGGGAAUAUUGCACAAUGGGCGCAAGCCUGAUGCAGCGACGCCGCGUGGGGGAUGACGGCCUUCGGGUUGUAAACUCCUUUCGCCAGGGACGAAGCGUUAUAGUGACGGUACCUGGAUAAGAAGCACCGGCUAACUACGUGCCAGCAGCCGCGGUAAUACGUAGGGUGCAAGCGUUGUCCGGAAUUACUGGGCGUAAAGAGCUCGUAGGUGGUUUGUCACGCCGUCUGUGAAAGUCCAGCGCUUAACGCUGGGAUUGCAGGCGAUACGGGCUGACUUGAGUGCUGUAGGGGAGACUGGAAUUCCUGGUGUAGCGGUGAAAUGCGCAGAUAUCAGGAGGAACACCAAUGGCGAAGGCAGGUCUCUGGGCAGUGACUGACGCUGAGGAGCGAAAGCAUGGGUAGCCAACAGGAUUAGAUACCCUGGUAGUCCAUGCCGUAAACGGUGGGCGCUAGGUGUGGGGACCUUCCACGGUUUCUGCGCCGUAGCUAACGCAU